This 78-nucleotide transfer RNA is filed under the name Cronobacter sakazakii. RNAcentral describes it as "tRNA-Ala(tgc)". It matches the Rfam family "tRNA". Rfam says of the family: Transfer RNA (tRNA) molecules are approximately 80 nucleotides in length. Their secondary structure includes four short double-helical elements and three loops (D, anti-codon, and T loops). Lineage: Bacteria; Pseudomonadati; Pseudomonadota; Gammaproteobacteria; Enterobacterales; Enterobacteriaceae. The record is from RNAcentral.
UGGGGCUAUAGCUCAGCUGGGAGAGCGCCUGCUUUGCACGCAGGAGGUCUGCGGUUCGAUCCCGCAUAGCUCCACCCA